RNAcentral lists this ribosomal RNA (253 nucleotides) under uncultured bacterium. RNAcentral's name for it is "partial 16S ribosomal RNA". It matches the Rfam family "Bacterial small subunit ribosomal RNA", at positions 524 to 776 of the family's 1533-position model. The record is from RNAcentral.
UACGGAGGAUCCAAGCGUUGUCCGGAUUUAUUGGGUUUAAAGGGUGCGUAGGCGGAUGUCUAAGUCAGUGGUGAAAGCCUGCAGCUUAACUGUAGAAUUGCCAUUGAAACUGGAUAUCUUGAAUGUGGUUAAAGUAAGCGGAAUGUAUCAUGUAGCGGUGAAAUGCUUAGAUAUGAUACAGAACACCGAUAGCGAAGGCAGCUUACUGAGCCACUAUUGACGCUGAGGCACGAAAGCGUGGGGAGCGAACAGG